Molecule: long non-coding RNA, 1097 nt
Organism: Glycine soja
Lineage: Eukaryota; Viridiplantae; Streptophyta; Magnoliopsida; Fabales; Fabaceae
Exons: 3
Source: RefSeq, a predicted model, not a curated record
UGUUCGACAACUGUUCUCCCUAAGUUGGGCCCUCAAACCAUCAUUCACUCAUUCUUUCUCUCUCUUUCUCUCACCGCUCUCUCCUUCUCACUAUCUAUCAUAUACUCUUCAAUUCGCAAUCCUAAACUCAAUGGCGAUGGGCGACAACAAGGACUUGAGGGUUUAAAUAGGAAAUCAGAGGUCAUCUUUCUGGAACUUUGGAAAUAUGCAUAUUUUGAUCUUACCCCAAUAAGCUUUCCUGCAUUCUCAAGCUUCUUUCCAACCUUUAAAGCAGCUGCAGCGGCAACUCCUGAAGAAAUUCUCACCUGUUUUCCAAUUGAAGUUAGCAGACGGGGAAGAGGCAGAGUAUAAAACCAACAUAUACAAGCUCUUCAUUGGUGUUAGAGUUUAGGUGUCACAAGGUUUGAAGAAAAUUAACUCCUAUCGUGCAAGCUAAAUAACAUAAGUUCUUAUGCCCUUCACAAUAGGGUGUGGGAAGGAUCAUUCACGAACAUAACAUUUUAUUUAAUAUAUGGUGAGGGUGCUAAACGCCAUUAUCUUGUGCAUGAUUGUAUGUGCAUAGGAUAAUGGACACCAGAACGCAUUAAGAAAAUCACACAUAAAGUUGAGAAGAUGAACAUAAAGGACUAACUAGCAAACCUUCCUGGAAUGAUAAUUGCUUUGCAUUUUCAACUACUUCAUCACUUGAUAUAUGCCAAAUUCACAAAAGGGAAGAUUAAUUAUAAUACAGACAAAGAAAAUGGUGGCAUUAACUAUUUAUCCAGGUCAUGUGGUUCCCAUUAUCACAUGCAUAAUAAUAGUCCAAUUGAACCCAGUUUUAGAUGUGCAAAUACUGGUCCUAAAUUAAGAGAAUCAAUCACAAGAAUUUAGAAACAAGAAGCCAGUGUAUCAAGAAAUGUUCAUUAUUGGCCAGUACAGCAAGCAAAUGCUUGAAAGAGGUAAAGAAAAAUGUCAACAUCAAUUUUGCAUAAUUCAUUCCUGUCUAUGUCUAUGAAAAAUAUUAUGUAUUCUCUGAAUCUUUGAUAUCACCACAUUCACAUGUGUGUGUAAGACAAAUGUGCAUUUUUUAUGAAAUAUUAUUAUUUAAAUGGGUCUCA